RNAcentral lists this long non-coding RNA (540 nucleotides) under Pan troglodytes (chimpanzee). Its description in RNAcentral is "lincRNA". The record is from RNAcentral. Lineage: Eukaryota; Metazoa; Chordata; Mammalia; Primates; Hominidae.
GGCGCAGCGCGCGGCGUCAGUCUUGGCUGGGAGACCUGUACUCCGUACUCCGUACUCCGUAGUCGCAGCGGCGCGGUCUUCGGCAGUCUAGUCAUCCACCGCCAUCCUGGGCCCCACAUGUUGCCUGACCAUUCCUGAGCCCAGGUGGGAGCGGUGGCUGAGGUGACGGUCUCAAAGUGGAAGAGCUUACUGUCACAGCAACUCCUUUGCAAGAUGCCCCGGUAAAUCACGUUGCAGAGACCCCAACUCUGCCUUCCUGGAACUAGGCCUGCGUUUUCUCUGAACCAUUAUUUCAUGGGGAAAAUGAAAUCUACUUCAUGUGCCUGGUCUACUUACUCCUUCAGAAGUGAUUUCUGAGCCGCCAGGAAUAGUUGCUGAACACCCCAGGAUGCUGAGGUCCCUCCUUGAGUCUCAUGUUCAAGCAGUCUUCACAUGGCACAAGAGUGCCUGCCAUCCCUCAGUGUUUCUACAGCAGCAAUCCCGAGAUGCUGGAGCUAGAGGGGACCUGACCUGAGAGAAGAUACCUUCAGUGGCUGCCAG